UAUCAGAAAUCAUACAGAACCAUUUGAAACCAUCAGUACAGCUGAGCUCUGGAAACCAUUAGGCAAAUCUGGCAGCUCGAAAAAGUUCACGGAGAUCUUUAGGCUAUUUCAUUGUGGUAUGAUUGGUUGGGUCAGCCCUGAAGGUUUCCUCUUCUGAUCUUUCCCCCACUACCAUCAGAGAAAAGCAAGACCGUCUGAUAAGAAAGCAGAUGAACUUUUAAAAAUGGCUGAAGAAGAAAAACUUGAGAGAGGAAUUCAAAGGUGUGCAGAGAUAUUCAGAGGGACUGAGCCUACUACGAGGUGCUCUCUGAAGAAAAGGGAGCCAUCCGUUGUUCGACCUAAAUUGGACAAAUUUUUCACUAUAGUAAAUCUGAAAAAAUACUACCAGUCACCAAACCUCUACUUCUGCAGCCUCCUGAAAAGACUAAUAAUCAUAUCAUUACUCCUUACUCAGAUAAUGUUGUGAUGCAAUGCUUUGAAUUACUUUACUUGACAAUUAAGACUUGUUUAAUGAUGACUAAUGUUCCAUAAUAUUGUACAUAAAAAUAUUAUUUUUUCAGAGGUUCUGGAACAGAUCCCAAUUUAGAACAUGCUUGACUGUGUAAAUAUAUCCACAAUGCUAUCAUUCUUGAUGCAUCCAUGUUUUCAAGGAACAUAUUAUAGCUGUACUGUUGGCUAUGCCUGAAAGUGUAUUUUCAUGUUCUAUAAAAUGAUUCUGCAUAUAUUAAAAACAUUUCACCCUUAAAAGAGGGGAUAAUUCUA
Molecule: long non-coding RNA, 762 nt
Organism: Ornithorhynchus anatinus (platypus)
Lineage: Eukaryota; Metazoa; Chordata; Mammalia; Monotremata; Ornithorhynchidae
Exons: 2
Source: RefSeq, a predicted model, not a curated record